AGCGAACGCUGGCGGCAGGCUUAACACAUGCAAGUCGAACGGGCGUAGCAAUACGUCAGUGGCAGACGGGUGAGUAACGCGUGGGAACGUGCCCUUUGGUUCGGAACAACACAGGGAAACUUGUGCUAAUACCGGAUAAGCCCUUACGGGGAAAGAUUUAUCGCCGAAGGAUCGGCCCGCGUCUGAUUAGCUUGUUGGUGAGGUAAUGGCUCACCAAGGCGACGAUCAGUAGCUGGUCUGAGAGGAUGAUCAGCCACACUGGGACUGAGACACGGCCCAGACUCCUACGGGAGGCAG
RNAcentral lists this ribosomal RNA (297 nucleotides) under uncultured Pseudomonadota bacterium. RNAcentral describes it as "uncultured proteobacterium partial 16S ribosomal RNA". It matches the Rfam family "Bacterial small subunit ribosomal RNA", at positions 29 to 351 of the family's 1533-position model. The record is from RNAcentral. Lineage: Bacteria; Pseudomonadati; Pseudomonadota.